Molecule: long non-coding RNA, 290 nt
Organism: Perognathus longimembris pacificus (Pacific pocket mouse)
Lineage: Eukaryota; Metazoa; Chordata; Mammalia; Rodentia; Heteromyidae
Exons: 3
Source: RefSeq, a predicted model, not a curated record
CACCAUAAUUUUUUUUAUAUCAGCAAAUGAAAGUGUUGUGGCAUUGAGCCUGUUCCUUCUGUGUGAGCUGAGGGGUCUCAAGCCCCCCGAAUCCUCAAUGCCAGCACUUAGGUUUUCCUCUGGUUUUCCCUGAAAGAUAAUAAGUCCCUCAAUGGUCCAUUUGCCUUUGUGGACUCAGCCCUCCACACAGGACCCAGCCCAGAGAAAACACUUGACGAAUGCAGAGAGAAGAACGAACCGGUGCAUGGAAGGACAUGGGAAUUAUUUUAACAGCUCUUAUGGCCACCUGG